Molecule: non-coding RNA, 72 nt
Organism: Daphnia pulex (common water flea)
Lineage: Eukaryota; Metazoa; Arthropoda; Branchiopoda; Diplostraca; Daphniidae
Source: Rfam
GUCCGAGUGGCUCAAUGGUAGAGCAUUAGACUUCUAAUCUAAGGGUUGUGGGUUCAAGUCCCAUCUCGGAUG